UUCAACCUUCGGGGCAGGGUGACACGGCGCACACGCGCCCGUGAAUUCCCGAUUGGUGGUAAAGCCCACGAGCGCGCAAGCGCAUGAGCUGGUGAAAUUCCAGCGCCAACGGUUACAGUCCGGAUAAAAGAAGGUUAGC
Molecule: non-coding RNA, 139 nt
Filed under: Anaerolineae bacterium
Lineage: Bacteria; Bacillati; Chloroflexota; Anaerolineae
Description: FMN sequence
Rfam family: FMN riboswitch aptamer (RFN element)
About the family: The RFN element is a highly conserved domain that is found frequently in the 5'-untranslated regions of prokaryotic mRNAs that encode for flavin mononucleotide (FMN) biosynthesis and transport proteins. This element is a metabolite-dependent riboswitch that directly binds FMN in the absence of proteins. In Bacillus subtilis, the riboswitch most likely controls gene expression by causing premature transcription termination within the 5' untranslated region of the ribDEAHT operon and precluding access to the ribosome-binding site of ypaA mRNA.
Source: RNAcentral